GACGAACGCUGGCGUCGUGCUUAACACAUGCAAGUCGAACGGAAAGGCCCUGCUUUUGUGGGGUGCUCGAGUGGCGAACGGGUGAGUAACACGUGAGUAACCUGCCCUUGACUUUGGGAUAACUUCAGGAAACUGGGGCUAAUACCGGAUAGGAGCUCCUGCUGCAUGGUGGGGGUUGGAAAGUUUCGGCGGUUGGGGAUGGACUCGCGGCUUAUCAGCUUGUUGGUGGGGUAUUGGCUUACGACGGCUUUGACGGGUAGCCGGCCGGGGAGGGUGACCGGCCACAUUGCGACUGCGAUACGCCCCAGACUCCUACGGGCGGCAGCAGUGGGGAAUCUUGCACAAUGGGCGGAAGCCUGAUGCAGCAACGCCCCGUGCGGGAUGACGGCCUUCGGGUUGUGAACCGCUUUCGCCUGUGACGAAGCGUGAGUGACGGUAAUGGGUAAAGAAGCACCGGCUAACUACGUG
RNAcentral lists this ribosomal RNA (468 nucleotides) under uncultured bacterium. RNAcentral describes it as "partial 16S ribosomal RNA". It matches the Rfam family "Bacterial small subunit ribosomal RNA", at positions 28 to 507 of the family's 1533-position model. The record is from RNAcentral.